GGAACAAAUCGCAGGGGAUUUCUGUUUCUAACGAAAGCGCACGCUCGUCUCCAUUUGUGUCGCUACUAGUGUCUUUGCUGUCCUGGGAUCAGACUGUCAUGUUCGCUCGAAGCUCCAAGAGGAGAAACUUCACCUCAUCGCUGAGCCCUGCGGAUGAGCUCCAGAGAGGACAGCCCUGUAUCACCUGUGGAGAUCAGUGUCCUGGCUUUUCCUUGCACGCAUGGAGUUGCAGAUGCUCUAACUCAGACAAGCUGUGCUCCAAACCUCUGAAUAAUGGAUCUGGAGCAUGAGGAGAAUGGUUGAUGAGUGUGUCUGUAUCACUUGUUUGUGGAUGUUUGCCUCUUUGUGUGUUUGUGUGUGUGUGUGUGUGUGUGUUUGUGUAUAGUAGCUUUGAUUUGUAUGCUGCUAUGUACACUGUUGCUCCAGAUGUUGUUGUGGCAGAAGAAGCCGACUCACCGACUCACUGCUGAUGUUUCUUUCCAAACUCUUGAGUGUGUGACAGUUGUUUUAUAUCAAAGAUCACAGUGGAUCAGCAGAGACACAAUAAAAUGAUCCAUAUUGUGAUUGCAUUUCCAUAAUGGUUACAUGUAAAAACAUGGUUCUAUAG
This is a long non-coding RNA of Platichthys flesus (European flounder), 607 nucleotides long. RefSeq lists it as uncharacterized. NCBI's taxonomy places the organism in Eukaryota, Metazoa, Chordata, Actinopteri, Pleuronectiformes, Pleuronectidae. The record is from RefSeq and is a predicted model, not a curated record. The transcript is spliced from 3 exons.